GGAAUAUUGCACAAUGGGCGAAAGCCUGAUGCAGCGACGCCGCGUGAACGAAGAAGUAUUUCGGUAUGUAAAGUUCUAUCAGCAGGGAAGAAAAAUGACGGUACCUGACUAAGAAGCUCCGGCUAAAUACGUGCCAGCAGCCGCGGUAAUACGUAUGGAGCAAGCGUUAUCCGGAUUUACUGGGUGUAAAGGGAGCGUAGGCGGUGGUUUAAGUCUGAUGUGAAAGCCCGGGGCUCAACCCCGGUAUUGCAUUGGAAACUGGAUCACUAGAGUGUCGGAGGGGUAAGUGGAAUUCCUAGUGUAGCGGUGAAAUGCGUAGAUAUUAGGAGGAACACCAGUGGCGAAGGCGGCUUACUGGACGAUUACUGACGCUGAGGCUCGAAAGCGUGGGGAGCAAACA
This 400-nucleotide ribosomal RNA is filed under the name uncultured bacterium. RNAcentral's name for it is "bacterial SSU rRNA". It matches the Rfam family "Bacterial small subunit ribosomal RNA", at positions 358 to 774 of the family's 1533-position model. The record is from RNAcentral.